UACGUAGGGACCAAGCGUUGUUCGGAUUUACUGGGCGUAAAGGGCGCGUAGGCGGCGUGGUAAGUCAGCUGUGAAAUCUCCGAGCUUAACUCGGAACGGUCAGCUGAUACUGCUGUGCUAGAGUACAGAAGGGGCAAUCGGAAUUCUCGGUGUAGCGGUGAAAUGCGUAGAUAUCAAGAGGAACACCUGAGGUGAAGACGGGUUGCUGGGCUGAUACUGACGCUGAAGCGCGAAAGCCAGGGGAGCGAACGGG
This 253-nucleotide ribosomal RNA is filed under the name uncultured bacterium. Its description in RNAcentral is "partial 16S ribosomal RNA". It matches the Rfam family "Bacterial small subunit ribosomal RNA", at positions 524 to 776 of the family's 1533-position model. The record is from RNAcentral.